Actinoplanes regularis is the source of this 75-nucleotide non-coding RNA. It matches the Rfam family "ASpks TB sRNA". Lineage: Bacteria; Bacillati; Actinomycetota; Actinomycetes; Micromonosporales; Micromonosporaceae. The record is from Rfam.
CUUGAGGGAGCCGAGCCACAGCGGUUCCCCGCCGGCCCGGUCCUGACCGUACGUCGCGAGCAGCGCCUGCGCCUC